Molecule: ribosomal RNA, 1099 nt
Filed under: Arthrobacter sp.
Lineage: Bacteria; Bacillati; Actinomycetota; Actinomycetes; Micrococcales; Micrococcaceae
Description: bacterial SSU rRNA
Rfam family: Bacterial small subunit ribosomal RNA
Source: RNAcentral
GGAGGCAGCAGUGGGGAAUAUUGCACAAUGGGCGAAAGCCUGAUGCAGCGACGCCGCGUGAGGGAUGACGGCCUUCGGGUUGUAAACCUCUUUCAGUAGGGAACAAGGCCAGUGUUUAGCUGGUUGAGGGUACUUGCAGAAGAAGCGCCGGCUAACUACGUGCCAGCAGCCGCGGUAAUACGUAGGGCGCAAGCGUUAUCCGGAAUUAUUGGGCGUAAAGAGCUCGUAGGCGGUUUGUCGCGUCUGCCGUGAAAGUCCGGGGCUCAACCCCGGAUCUGCGGUGGGUACGGGCAGACUAGAGUGAUGUAGGGGAGACUGGAAUUCCUGGUGUAGCGGUGAAAUGCGCAGAUAUCAGGAGGAACACCGAUGGCGAAGGCAGGUCUCUGGGCAUUAACUGACGCUGAGGAGCGAAAGCAUGGGGAGCGAACAGGAUUAGAUACCCUGGUAGUCCAUGCCGUAAACGUUGGGCACUAGGUGUGGGGGACAUUCCACGUUUUCCGCGCCGUAGCUAACGCAUUAAGUGCCCCGCCUGGGGAGUACGGCCGCAAGGCUAAAACUCAAAGGAAUUGACGGGGGCCCGCACAAGCGGCGGAGCAUGCGGAUUAAUUCGAUGCAACGCGAAGAACCUUACCAAGGCUUGACAUGAACUGGAAACACUUGGAAACAAGUGCCCCGCUUGCGGUCGGUUUACAGGUGGUGCAUGGUUGUCGUCAGCUCGUGUCGUGAGAUGUUGGGUUAAGUCCCGCAACGAGCGCAACCCUCGUUCUAUGUUGCCAGCACGUAGUGGUGGGGACUCAUAGGAGACUGCCGGGGUCAACUCGGAGGAAGGUGAGGACGACGUCAAAUCAUCAUGCCCCUUAUGUCUUGGGCUUCACGCAUGCUACAAUGGCCGGUACAAUGGGUUGCGAUACUGUGAGGUGGAGCUAAUCCCAAAAAGCCGGUCUCAGUUCGGAUUGGGGUCUGCAACUCGACCCCAUGAAGUCGGAGUCGCUAGUAAUCGCAGAUCAGCAACGCUGCGGUGAAUACGUUCCCGGGCCUUGUACACACCGCCCGUCAAGUCACGAAAGUUGGUAACACCCGAAGCCGGUGGCCUAACCCC